CGACUGAGAGAGUAUAUAUUUAGAAACGGACGUGUGUUUUAAUACAAACCGCAUGUACUUACCGAUGCAUUAGGUUCUGCAUUAUCUGGAACACGCAGUGUAACGCUCUCCGGCCGCAGUGGACACACACGGUGCCGGGUUCUCUGCUGGCCACCUAGAGUUACGAUGGCAAAGCAGAACCAAAUCGAUCAUCUGCACUCUUCACUAUCUAGCUAGUUAUCAGCCUUUUCGAUCGCAUCCAAAAUUAAGCAAAUAAAUGCAGCACAAACCUGGGUGUUACAAUGUGUGUUUUUUUUCUACUCCAAGCAGAACAACUGAAUCACCAGACUACUCAUAGGACCUAACAACUACUGACCAUAUUUAACUAAAAACGGUCAUCGAUCCGUCUUCCAUAGUUGGUUCCUCUAAAAUGGCGGUGAUAAUAAUAAGCCUCACUUCUGCAAACCGGCGGUAAUUGUCCACUUGGUCAAGAACAUUUAGAGAACAAAACAACCUCGAAUGGAACCCCAGCUAAGCCAAGCCAAACUCGAUCACCCCCACUGCUCCUCUCUAGCUCGAUGAUCUUGGCCCGAAGUGUUUCAUUCUACAGCGUUAAUAUAGCGAGUGGCCUGACAACUAUGGUUUUAUUUGGACUAUAAGUUCGCUGCCGGAUUGCACAUACAUUCGGGGGGUGUAGACGACGCUGGAAAUGGAGUAGGAGCCGGUGGUGGUGGUUCCUCAUCGUCUGCGGCGGCGGAGCUUGUGGAAUGAGGCGGUGGCGGCAUUGCUUCGAGAUCGUGGUGGCUCUUUCCUCUCCAAUGUUGGUCGGAGGACUUGGAGGAGUAGCAGCUAACGGAUGAAGAUCGAUGGACUUGGAUGCCAAGGCAAUCCCUCACAGUCGGAGCUGUUGGUGUGGUGAUGACCGGGUUUUCAAUUUGGAUCGAGCUUGCCGGCCGGCGUCAGCCCUCAAGGCCUCAACUCCU
This 962-nucleotide long non-coding RNA is filed under the name Setaria italica (foxtail millet). RNAcentral's name for it is "long non-coding RNA (SITA_LNC000903)". The record is from RNAcentral. Lineage: Eukaryota; Viridiplantae; Streptophyta; Magnoliopsida; Poales; Poaceae.